This 85-nucleotide transfer RNA is filed under the name Felis catus (domestic cat). It matches the Rfam family "tRNA". Rfam says of the family: Transfer RNA (tRNA) molecules are approximately 80 nucleotides in length. Their secondary structure includes four short double-helical elements and three loops (D, anti-codon, and T loops). The record is from Rfam by way of RNAcentral. Lineage: Eukaryota; Metazoa; Chordata; Mammalia; Carnivora; Felidae.
GCCUGGGUGGCUCAGUUGGUUGAGCGGCCGACUUCAGCUCAGGUCAUGAUAUCGCAGUCCGUGAGUUCGAGCCCCGCCUCGGGCU